This 465-nucleotide ribosomal RNA is filed under the name uncultured bacterium. RNAcentral describes it as "partial 16S ribosomal RNA". It matches the Rfam family "Bacterial small subunit ribosomal RNA", at positions 339 to 795 of the family's 1533-position model. The record is from RNAcentral.
CUACGGGAUGCACCAGUGGGGAAUAUUGGACAAUGGGGGAAACCCUGAUCCAGCAAUGCCGCGUGUGUGAAGAAGGCCUGCGGGUUGUAAAGCACUUUCGGUUGGGAGGACUGCUUCUAGCACUAAUAUUGUUGGAAGUUGACGUUACCUUCAGAAGAAGCACCGGCUAACUCUGUGCCAGCAGCCGCGGUAAUACGGAGGGUGCAAGCGUUAAUCGGAAUUACUGGGCGUAAAGCGCGCGUAGGCGGCUAGAUCAGUCGGGUGUGAAAGCCCCGGGCUUAACCUGGGAACUGCAUCCGAUACUGUCUAGCUUGAGUACAGGAGAGGAGAGUGGAAUUCCACAUGUAGCGGUGAAAUGCGUAGAUAUGUGGAGGAACACCAAUGGCGAAGGCAGCUCUCUGGCCUGAUACUGACGCCGAGGUGCGAAAGCGUGGGGAGCAAACAGGAUUAGAUACCCCCGUAGUC